GAUGAAGAACGCAGCGAAAUGCGAUAAGUAGUGUGAAUUGCAGAAUUCAGUGAAUCAUCGAAUCUUUGAACGCACAUUGCGCCCCUUGGUAUCCCGAGGGGCAUGCCUGUUCGAGCGUCAUUUCACCACUCAAGCCUGGCUUGGUGUUGGGCGACGUCCCCUUUGGGGACGCGCCUCGAAACGCUCGGCGGCGUGGCACCGGCUUUAAGCGUAGCAGAAUCUUUCGCUUUGGAAGUCGGGGCCCCGUCUGCCGGAAGACCUACUCGCAAGGUUGACCUCGGACCAGGCAGGGAUACCCGCUGAACUUAAGCAUAUCAAUAAGCGGAGGA
Molecule: unclassified non-coding RNA, 329 nt
Filed under: soil metagenome
Description: partial contains 5.8S ribosomal RNA, internal transcribed spacer 2, and large subunit ribosomal RNA
Rfam family: 5.8S ribosomal RNA (bases 1-120)
Source: RNAcentral